CACCAUCUCACAUCCAUCAGAAAAUCUCAUACUCUCUAAUAAAUUCUCACACCCAUCUGUAAGGUUUUGACACAUGACAAUCAUCGAGAAAAAAUCCAAGAGAUGCUUCACAUAGAAGGAUUCUUCGAAAUAUUUUUCUCGAUGAUUCUCUGAUGCGUCAUGCAGCUUCCCAUGGAGUAAUUUUUUUCCACCAGCCAUCAGUG
Molecule: long non-coding RNA, 203 nt
Filed under: Elaeis guineensis (African oil palm)
Lineage: Eukaryota; Viridiplantae; Streptophyta; Magnoliopsida; Arecales; Arecaceae
Description: long non-coding RNA (EGUI_LNC063570)
Source: RNAcentral